This 253-nucleotide ribosomal RNA is filed under the name uncultured bacterium. RNAcentral's name for it is "partial 16S ribosomal RNA". It matches the Rfam family "Bacterial small subunit ribosomal RNA", at positions 524 to 776 of the family's 1533-position model. The record is from RNAcentral.
UACAGAGGUCUCAAGCGUUGUUCGGAAUCAUUGGGCGUAAAGAGCGUGUAGGCGGCCAGAUAAGUCCGCUGUGAAAUCUCGAGGCUCAACUUCGAGCUGUCGGUGGAAACUGUCUGGCUAGAGUCCGGAAGAGGAGAAUGGAAUUCCUGGUGUAGCGGUGAAAUGCGCAGAUAUCAGGAGGAACACCUAUUGCGAAGGCAGCUCGCUGGGACGUUACUGACGCUGGGACGCGAAAGCGUGGGGAGCAAACAGG